UGGGGAAUAUUGGACAAUGGGGGGAACCCUGAUCCAGCCAUGCCGCGUGUGUGAAGAAGGCCUUAUGGUUGUAAAGCACUUUAAGCGAGGAGGAGGCUUUUCUAGUUAAUACCUAGGAUGAGUGGACGUUACUCGCAGAAUAAGCACCGGUUAACUCUGUGCCAGCAGCCGCGGUAAUACAGAGGGUGCGGGCGUUAAUCGGAUUUACUGGGCGUAAAGCGUGCGUAGGCGGCUUUUUAAGUCGGAUGUGAAAUCCCCGAGCUUAACUUGGGAAUUGCAUUCGAUACUGGGAAGCUAGAGUAUGGGAGAGGAUGGUAGAAUUCCAGGUGUAGCGGUGAAAUGCGUAGAGAUCUUGGAGGAAUACCGAUGGCGAAGGCAGCCAUCUGGCCUAAUACUGACGCUGAGGUACGAAAGCAUGGGGAGCAAACA
This 429-nucleotide ribosomal RNA is filed under the name uncultured Acinetobacter sp. Its description in RNAcentral is "bacterial SSU rRNA". It matches the Rfam family "Bacterial small subunit ribosomal RNA", at positions 355 to 774 of the family's 1533-position model. Lineage: Bacteria; Pseudomonadati; Pseudomonadota; Gammaproteobacteria; Moraxellales; Moraxellaceae. The record is from RNAcentral.